RNAcentral lists this ribosomal RNA (253 nucleotides) under uncultured bacterium. RNAcentral's name for it is "partial 16S ribosomal RNA". It matches the Rfam family "Bacterial small subunit ribosomal RNA", at positions 524 to 776 of the family's 1533-position model. The record is from RNAcentral.
UACGAAGGGGGCUAGCGUUGCUCGGAAUCACUGGGCGUAAAGCGCACGUAGGCGGCUUGUUAAGUCCGGGGUGAAAUCCUGGAGCUCAACUCCAGAACUGCCUUUGAUACUGACGGUCUUGAGUCCGGGAGAGGUGAGUGGAACUCCGAGUGUAGAGGUGAAAUUCGUAGAUAUUCGGAAGAACACCAGUGGCGAAGGCGGCUCACUGGCCCGGUACUGACGCUGAGGUGCGAAAGCGUGGGGAGCAAACAGG